This 253-nucleotide ribosomal RNA is filed under the name uncultured bacterium. RNAcentral's name for it is "partial 16S ribosomal RNA". It matches the Rfam family "Bacterial small subunit ribosomal RNA", at positions 524 to 776 of the family's 1533-position model. The record is from RNAcentral.
UACGGGGGGGGCAAGCGUUGUUCGGAAUUACUGGGCGUAAAGGGCUCGUAGGCGGCCAACUAAGUCAGACGUGAAAUCCCUCGGCUUAACCGGGGAACUGCGUCUGAUACUGGAUGGCUUGAGGUUGGGAGAGGGAUGCGGAAUUCCAGGUGUAGCGGUGAAAUGCGUAGAGAUCGGGAGGAACACCAGAGGCGAAGGCGGCCAGCUGGGCCGUCCCUGACGCUGAGGCGCGAAGGCGUGGGGAGCGAACGGG